This 266-nucleotide ribosomal RNA is filed under the name uncultured Bacillota bacterium. RNAcentral's name for it is "uncultured Firmicutes bacterium partial 16S ribosomal RNA". It matches the Rfam family "Bacterial small subunit ribosomal RNA", at positions 80 to 339 of the family's 1533-position model. Lineage: Bacteria; Bacillati; Bacillota. The record is from RNAcentral.
UUGCUCUUCUUGGAUGAGUUGCGAACGGGUGAGUAACGCGUAGGUAACCUGCCUUGUAGCGGGGGAUAACUAUUGGAAACGAUAGCUAAUACCGCAUAACAAUGGAUGACACAUGUCAUUUAUUUGAAAGGGGCAAUUGCUCCACUACAAGAUGGACCUGCGUUGUAUUAGCUAGUAGGUGAGGUAAUGGCUCACCAAGGCGACGAUCGGUAGCCGGACUGAGAGGUUGAACGGCCACAUUGGGACUGAGACACGGCCCAGACUCC